Rhododendron vialii is the source of this 637-nucleotide long non-coding RNA. RefSeq lists it as uncharacterized. The record is from RefSeq and is a predicted model, not a curated record. The transcript is spliced from 3 exons. Lineage: Eukaryota; Viridiplantae; Streptophyta; Magnoliopsida; Ericales; Ericaceae.
GAUAUUAGAUCAUGUACGUGUGUGCGCGUUUGUGUCUUCUCUUCUUCUAAGUUCUACAUGCACUUCCCCUCAGUAUGUAGUUAGCAAUAGUAGAGUAGUAUAAUCAACUACUCUUUCUAUUGGUGGGCUCCGCCUAGUGGAAGGAAGGGCAUGGAUAGCAUUGUUCUGGAAAGAUCAGAGACUCUAAGAGCCACCGGAGCGGCCAUCGGUAUUCAAUCCAACAGUUGGCGCGCACUUGAUCAGCUUGGUGUGGGCUCCAAGCUCAAGACAAACGGCCAUCCCUAUCCUCUGGUUUGUCUCUCUAUUAUUGAGUAUUGCAUUAAUUAAGCUGGUAGUGUUAUAUAUGAUGCAAAUAAUUUUACCAUGCAUGGCGCGCAGUAUCUGUCUAUAUAUAUCAAUCUAAUUAAUUUGUUCGUGUCCAGGUUUCGAGAUGUCUCAACAGACGACACAACCCUAAAAGAAACACCAGUCGGGAAUUUAGAAGCUCAAUGCCUCAAACGGAGUAUUCUCACGGAAACCCUAGCAAACGAUCUUCCAGUUGGGACAAUACGUUUUGGUUCUCAUAUAACUGCACUCCAAAUGGAUCCAACUACCUUACAGCCAAUCCUUCACCUCCAUGAUGGAAGCGUCAUUAGGG